This 278-nucleotide long non-coding RNA is filed under the name Elaeis guineensis (African oil palm). RNAcentral describes it as "long non-coding RNA (EGUI_LNC008047)". The record is from RNAcentral. Lineage: Eukaryota; Viridiplantae; Streptophyta; Magnoliopsida; Arecales; Arecaceae.
GGCAAGAGGUAGGUACAAGUGAUUGAAAAGUACUACAAAAUAAUGCAAAGAGAGCCUCAAGCUAGCCUUUAAAGUUUCAUCAUAAAGACUAACCUAAGCAGGAAAGCAGCCAUUCGCUCUAUCCUCAGGUCUAGGGAAACUAAGUGAAAAGCCAUUGUGAAUAUAAUAAUUCCUCUAAAACCAAUCCAGGUUAUCCUAAUCUGGGAUGCAUUCUUUGGUGCCUGGACCAUAAGAGAGUUUUGGUUUGACAUCCCUGAAGCCAUUAAAAGGCUAGCCCA